CCUGCAUGGCGGUGCCCAGAUCAUUCCACGCGCUCCGUCUCAUCACGUAGGCAUUUUAUCAUCUCAGGCGGGCUCAGUAAGGGAGCAAGCCCCAGGAGGUGGUCUUGGUGUCCUGUCACAGCAACCAGAGGGUGUGAUGCUCUUCCCCUGAGAGUUAUGGCCAUGUGGGAAAGGCCCUGGCCUGGGAGUCAGGAGACCUCUGGUCCUGCUUGUGUCUGCCCCUAACCUACGAGUCAUCUUGGGUGGGCAGCUUUCUUCCAAUUGGUGUUUCAGGGACUUGGAUUCUUACCAUCUUAUGGCUUUCCCAUCCAUCAUGGCUUUGGAGUCCUCUGCAUAUAGCUGAAGAAAGGGAAAAGCAGGGUGGAGAAUCCCUACCAACUUCUUAAAAGCCCUGGUCUAAAAGUGCCAUACACCAUUCAUUGCUGAUGCAACAUUGAUACAAGGGGGCUGGCUAUGUUCUGGACUGGGCUGCUAUCUCUCAGUGUGAAUUUUUGAACAAAAUCAGGACCAAUGCAUCCGAAGUGCACAGGAAGCAGAUUUCAUCUUGAUCCAACAAUGAGCUUCCUAUCAAUUCCAUGUAUUCCGUUAUAGAAUGGGCUGCCUCAAGGAGGCCUGGAUGGAGUUCUUGGAGGCAGUUAAGCUAACAAUGGGUGCAUAAGACUUUUCUUCUUCCAUCAUAAUUGCCACGUCUCAGGACCACGUCCCCUCCCAGCAUUUGCAGUAUUUGAGCAGGAAGAGGAGAAGUGGAGGCAAGAGGGAAGGGAGAAACCAUGAGACAUAGCUGAAUGUUGCACUGACGGUGGCCACCAGCCAUGCUAGCUUCCUCUUCUUGUGUCAUCUGCUCAUCCUCAACACCUGUAAUUGUUUGCUUUCUGUGGCUCAUAACCACCACCAGCCACUGCUGCCUGGACCAGUGAAAGACACAUAACCCAAAGUGAAUCACCGUCCAAGUGCAUGAGGGGAUGCUGGUGUCAGUACAGUAAAGGUGCUUACCUGGCAGUCAUGUAAAGUUCAGCCUCAGGUAUGGGUCUGGGUCCCGAUUAAAGAAGACAGAAUGGACCUGAUGCCAAAGAGAAGUGGAGCCCAGAGGGACAGAAAGAGAAGCUGACAUUUCCGACUUCUACUCCAGCCCUGUGAGAUCCAUCUGUGUUUGUUUGAGUCUUGGGUUUUCUGUGAGGUUCCUUGCUACAUCUUCUUAAGAAAAACCCUAGGUGUUUUCAAAAUAGCUUCAGUGAGUUUCUUUCCACCCCCACCCCCCAACACCGAGUGACCCUUAACUUGGGCAGGAAAUGACUCUUCCUUCUUUCAGUGAGGAAAGUUCUGGAAAAUAAGACUCUCUAGUCCAAGAAUUAUGGGAUUGAUUCCAUAUCAUCAUUGGCUCUGGGUAUCAUUAGGCCUCCACUUCUCUGCUGUAAAAAAGUAGAUCACCCCACAAUCUUUGCAUCCUGCUUACUCCUGAGUACUGUGUAGUGACAUUGGACAGUGGCCCUGAAGAAUGGAAAGUGUGGGAACAAUGUUGGGAAGGGACAGUCCCUUGAAGCUGAGCUCUAACGACUGUGGUUUCAGUGACGGGGCAGGACAUGUCUGUUUUGCUCAUUGGUUGCUGGAGCACUGCUGCGGUUUGGACGCAUCUCAGUUCUGCUCAGGGCUAAGGCAUUGAAUGUCCCCAGGAUCAAUGUAAACAACCACGUAAAUCAAUAUAAACAAUUAAAAUAGAUUUUAGUAGAAGGAUAAAUAGAAGUCCUAGAAAUAGCUGGUGAAGUCACCCCUACUUGGUGGUGGGUUUUGGGAAUUUCUCUACCCUUUUAAGUACCUGCUGAUGUACAGAAAAAUAUAAAGGUUAUGAGGGCUGCCUAUCUACCAGGCUGCCCUCAGUUUUCUUGUCUCUAAAGUAGGGGAAUGGGUAAUAGAUGAGAUGAGUUGUAGAGGUCCUUCCAGCAUUGUGGUUGAGCAUGAGUGGCAUAGCAAGAUCAGUGGUUUAAGAAUCCACAGAGAUGUUAUGCAACAGAUCUUCCUGCAUAAUACCUGCCAGAGGGGGCCAGUUAAUAAUAGCGUGUAAGUGGUUGUUAUGGGUCGAGUGAUGAGGAAGUUCAGUUCAUGUUCUUUGAAAAAAUUCAGUGUGUCAUUCCCAGGAUGGAUUUUCAAGCAAAAUGAAAUUUCCACUGUAAGCGCAGCCAAAUGUAGGGAACUGCCAGGAAAGAUUAAGGUUAAAGUCUAUGAGGGUCGGGUCAGGGAAGCAGGGUUUUAAUUAAAUGAAGCAAUGGUUAUAAAGCUCUUACCUAGUGUUUUUCAUGUAACAGGUACUUGGUAUAGUCAAGUCCUUUUCUUUCUUCUUCCCCUUUUCAUUCAUCUUUCACUUUCCAACACUCUGCUGCUUAAGAUUCCUAUAACCACACGCUGGGUCAUUUAAUUUGCCUCCCUAGGAAACUAGCAAAACUCAUUCCCAGUUGAAUUAAAGUCAUUCCUAGUGCCAAGAAAGGACAGUGGAAGAGGAUAAAGGGAAUUCCGGGGUGGAAUGAUUCAACUACUUGCAGAGAAAAGAUUCAUUAUGGGUAAAUGCUUGCUGGCUGACCAUGGAAAUGGAAUGCAAGUCAAAUAUUUUGAGGAUGACAUGAAAUGCUGAGUAGAUGAAAAGGAUGUGAAAGCCAGUCCGAGCUAGGAUGAAGCAAUGAUAUUUUAAAUUUAAUUAGGGGUUUCUUAUAGUAGAAUCAACUUCAUGGUGUUACAUGUUUAGGAGUUCAGGAGAUAUUACAACAAUAAACUAUUGUAGGACAAGAUGAUUAAAAAACACUUUAUGAGAACUAUGGCUUAGCAUAUAUCAUUCAGAAAAUACAUAAAGAUAACUUCUGCUUUUUAGAGCAUAAUCUGUGUCUUUUGAGGGAGGGGAUGGAGUGGGGCCCAGCUUUGGAGCCAACAGGAGGAAAUAUAAUGGGAUACUGAAGAACGAAGGGAGAAAGUUCGCAUGGCUCUGACUGCUUUCCUCUCCCUGGCAACAGUUACUUGCUAUCCUGCAGCCACGCAUGCGUUGCAAUGAAAUUAAAUAGGAAACCAGCCUCUUGGGGGCAUUGAGAACUCCACUUGUCAAGGCCCGAUGGUCGUAAACUUGAUUUUGAUGUUUACAAAAGCUGAGGUUCUAUUAGUGGUGCUGCGUGGAUGAAGACUCACGAAACACACGCACAAACCAAAGGCACAGAGCUCUUCCACUCACAGAGCUCUUCCACGCACAGAGCUCUUCCACGCACAGAGCUCUUCCAUGCACAGAGCUCUUCCAUGCACAGAGCUUCACAGUUCUUCAGCACUCCCCCUCUGGAUCCUACUUAGUACUUAAAAUAACUUUGCAAGGCAGGAAUCAAUUUCCUUGUAUUUAGAUGAGGAAACUAAGGCUCAGAAUUUAAGUGAUUUUCCCAAGUCAUCUGGCAAAGUAGGAAGUUCAGAUUUCCACUGCUAAACUCAGUUUCCUUUCCCACAACACCUGCCUCUAUUGAUUAGUACUUGUCCAAGGGCUCCUCUAAGGCUUAUGCUCACUGCGAAAAUCAUUAUAUUGAGAAAAUUUAGUUUGUCCCGUACCCAGCUGCUGUUCUCAUUUUCUGCCACCAGUUUAAUCCGGUUUUGCAAUGAUCUAUCUCAGUAGUUUUCCAACUUCAGGAUGCAAAAGCAGCACUGAACAUCUUUUUAAAAUGCAAAUUAAUGGUUUCCAUCUCCAGAAAUACUGAGACAGUAGAUCUGGGGAAGGGCCAGGAAUGAGCAUUUCAUGAGCGCUCAGAGUGAUUCUGUUUCCUGUAAGGGACCACACUUUGAAAACACGGGUCCAAUUAUGUUUCCACUUCCUGCCACAGUAACAAAUGGAGAGCUAGAUCAUUUGCUUUCCGCCAGUUUUUGUCUCUGGAUUCAUGUUUUAGCUCCCCUGUAUCAUCCUAUGCGUCAAUAUUUCCAAUAGGUUCUUCCUGGAAUUAUGACUCUGCCACUGAAUUCUGCAGCUUUUUCAUCCCUAGAUAUGAUUAAAGUUUUCUUAGUAUCGUUUGUCCUGGACACUCCUGUCGUUUAUGGUUCAGAUUUCACAUGGGAUGGUGGCAUAGAUCUAUGAAAUCUUUUAUCAGUUAUAAUUUUUGUAGCUUGAGUAGCUUUGAAUUUGGUGUAAUAAGCAAUGUCAAAAAUUUAGAGUUAAAAAAUAUUUUCAAUUACUCUUCCACCAACCGUGGCAAUGUGAUUGUAGUAAUUCACUUAAUUUCCAGGAGUCUUGGUUUCCUCGUCUUUGUCAUGAGGAUAAUGACAUCUACCUCCCAGGGUUGUCAUGAAAAUUAAAGAAGAUAAUAUAUAUUGAUUUUAUAAUUAUAUAAUUUAUAGAAUUGACUAUAGAAAUGCCUAUGGAUUUCAUCAGUGUUGGUUCCAGAUUAGAGUGUUACCACUGACUGUUUUCUCAAGGGUAGUGUCAUUGAAACAAAGCUGGGUUGCAGAAACUGGUUUCAUUCAAUUAAUUGGGCUUAGCCUCACCUCAGGGUUUUUGUGCAUGAGCCCUGUGAAUGGAUGGUUUUAGGACAGAUGAGCAAAGAGACACCAAAGAGACCAGCAUGGCAUCCAUUUCCCUAAGCUUGCCAUGAGGACCACGUGUGGUCUUUAUGUGGAGAGCAGGCAGUGUGUCACACGUGAAAAGAAUGCACAGUGCAGAGUUUCAGAGAGGGCUACCCCUGCUUGUGCAUUGAGGCUAGCGUGCAUGUGUUAAGGCAGCGAAGCCUGAGGAGAGCACAGCCCUGCUGGUAACCUUAAGGGUCCAGUCUUGGGAACAACAGAAGUCCCAGGAAGAAGAGCAGCGCUGGGUUCUUAGUAGGCGCUGUCAGCCGCAGGAGGAGCAGAGAAUGUCCUUGAGGGGGCCUCUGAAGGGGAAGAAUGGUAAGCGUGCAUGGAUCGCCUCUGGGAACCCAGAGAAAUAACUGGGGUGACUUGGGGAGGGAUGCAGAGCGCUUAGCUCCGGGGCUUGUGCAGAUGGAAGUUCUCCAGGCUCAGUCUGGCUUGGAUGUUCCUUACUGUCAAUUCUUUGUCAAGUACCUCACCUCCUAUAUGCUGUUGAGAUGCCAAAAUCUGUACCUCUGGCUGAGGCUUGCCCUCUAAGCUCCAAACCCACAUAUAUUCUGUCUGCUCACAGGUCCCCUUGAUGCAUUUGGGCCCUUCAAACUCAACGCAGCCCCCAAAGCAUCAUCGGUCAACAACGCAACCCGAUGCUGCUCUUGUAUGCCUUAGGUCAGUGUAUGGUUCCAUCCAGUGAAACCAAGCAGCUCCCUUUUCCUUCUGUCACCAUUUUGAUCCAGUCUAUCAUGCAGCCCUGCCAAUUAUACUCCUAAAUAUUCAUGACUCGGGCUAUAUUUCUCCAUCCCACAGCCAUCAUUGUGGUUCAAGAUAUCAUAUCUUUCCACUGCACUUCUCCUGAGCAAGCUCUUUGGUUUCCCCGCAUCCAUUCUUGCCUUCCCUCGCUCUACUUUGAAUAGCUGCCGGAAGGAUCUUUUAAGCAGACAAAUCUUAUUGCGUCAUUCCCCAGCUUAGAUCCGCAUUCCCAAGGUGAAGACUACACACUUUAAUGAGGCUGGUGUAGCCAUGCGUGCGGGGACCAGGCUGACUCUUACUCUUUCCCCUGUCCUGUCUGUUCCAGUCUGAGGGGUCUCCCCUGCACUGUGGAGACGCCCAACUCAUUCCCACCUCUGGAGCUUCUCACCUGUGUUUUUGCUGGAGCCAGAGACUCUUCUCCCUCUUCUUUUUCUAGUUAAUACCUUGCAUUAUAUGCCAGUCAGAGAACCCUGAUGGGGGUGUUUUUUUUUUAAUAAUUUUUUUUUACUUGAGUGUAGUUGACAUGCAAUGUUACAUUAUUUUCAGGUGCACAACAGAGUGACUCAACAUCUCUAUAUGUUUGCUGUGUUCCCCGCAAGUGUAGCUACCAUGUGUCACCAUCCAUCGCUAUGCCAGUACAUUGACUAUAUUCCCUAUGCUGAUGAGAUAUUAAGGACAAAACAAAAAGCCUUUCUCUAUGCUGUAUUCCCUCAGUACCUUGUACUUUCCCCUCAAGCUGCGUGGGGUAUAGCACAUUGUCUAUACUUUUCUCUAAAGUGUACUUUUCUCUCUCUUGGGGAGGGAAUGUGUCCAUUGCAUUUACUUUCCUGUCACGAGUGCCUAGCACAGAUGACACGGUACUCAGCAAACAUUCAGUAAACACUCACGCAGUGAUUGCUUCAAUCUGAAAUCCUGAGACCGUUUCUUUCCAAGUGUGUCACAGAAACCUCGUGCUCAGCAGGACUCUACCCCGUGGCUUGUCAAACCUCCGUGGUAAUGGGGCCAGAUUGACACACGUGGCAGGCAUCUAGGAUUGUUAACUAAACAGCCACAAUUCUUUCUUUCCUCUGAAAGUAAUUACUGGUUGCUAAAUAUUCAAACGUGCAUUGAAAAAGCAGCUCAUUACAUUAUGUUAAGAAAUAAAUUACUAUUUCUAAUUGCUUCUAGUAGUUAAUUACUUCUAAUUAUUAGUCUGAGUAAUAAAUUACUGCUUCUGAUUAUGUUGUGGGCACAGAGCAUUCAAAAAUGCAAUUUUCAUGGUUGUUUACAUCAGAACAUGUUUACUGAAUUAUAGAGCCAUAAUUACCCCGAAUAACUGGUAGCAAAAAAUAAUAAACAUUUGAUAAAUUCAAUUGAAAUAUGUCAUUUCUUUGUCAGCUUAUUUAAGAGAUCAAGCAUUAAAAUGAAACAACCAUGCUUGACUUUUCCAGUCUCUUCAGGGGGUAACAAUAUGUUAAAAUCAGGAUUUUUGUUUUGUUUUGGUUGAAUAAGAACUAAAUUAGAAUUACUUUUGUUAUUUAAAACAAUAAAGAAAAUAUUCAGACCUCCAAUGCUGUUAAAAAUCAGGUUGUACAACCAGCAUACAACUCAU
Long non-coding RNA from Ailuropoda melanoleuca (giant panda), 6907 nucleotides. RefSeq lists it as uncharacterized. Lineage: Eukaryota; Metazoa; Chordata; Mammalia; Carnivora; Ursidae. The record is from RefSeq and is a predicted model, not a curated record. The transcript has 7 exons.